RNAcentral lists this ribosomal RNA (721 nucleotides) under Rhodococcus sp. IBT2679-A02. RNAcentral's name for it is "bacterial SSU rRNA". It matches the Rfam family "Bacterial small subunit ribosomal RNA", at positions 98 to 833 of the family's 1533-position model. Lineage: Bacteria; Bacillati; Actinomycetota; Actinomycetes; Mycobacteriales; Nocardiaceae. The record is from RNAcentral.
GCGAACGGGUUUUUAACACGUGGGUCAUCUGCCCUGCACUUCGGGAUAAGCCUGGGAAACUGGGUCUAAUACCGGAUAUGACCAAGGACUGCAUGGUUUUUGGUGGAAAGGUUUACUGGUGCAGGAUGAGCCCGCGGCCUAUCAGCUUGUUGGUGGGGUAAUGGCCUACCAAGGCGACGACGGGUAGCCGGCCUGAGAGGGCGACCGGCCACACUGGGACUGAGACACGGCCCAGACUCCUACGGGAGGCAGCAGUGGGGAAUAUUGCACAAUGGGCGAAAGCCUGAUGCAGCGACGCCGCGUGAGGGAUGACGGCCUUCGGGUUGUAAACCUCUUUCAGCAGGGACGAAGCGCAAGUGACGGUACCUGCAGAAGAAGCACCGGCCAACUACGUGCCAGCAGCCGCGGUAAUACGUAGGGUGCGAGCGUUGUCCGGAAUUACUGGGCGUAAAGAGCUCGUAGGCGGUUUGUCGCGUCGUCUGUGAAAACCCGCAGCUCAACUGCGGGCUUGCAGGCGAUACGGGCAGACUUGAGUACUGCAGGGGAGACUGGAAUUCCUGGUGUAGCGGUGAAAUGCGCAGAUAUCAGGAGGAACACCGGUGGCGAAGGCGGGUCUCUGGGCAGUAACUGACGCUGAGGAGCGAAAGCGUGGGUAGCGAACAGGAUUAGAUACCCUGGUAGUCCACGCCGUAAACGGUGGGCGCUAGGUGUGGGUUUCCUU